RNAcentral lists this ribosomal RNA (429 nucleotides) under Chloroflexota bacterium. RNAcentral describes it as "Chloroflexi bacterium partial 16S ribosomal RNA". It matches the Rfam family "Bacterial small subunit ribosomal RNA", at positions 355 to 776 of the family's 1533-position model. The record is from RNAcentral. Lineage: Bacteria; Bacillati; Chloroflexota.
UGGGGAAUAUUGCACAAUGGGCGCAAGCCUGAUGCAGCCAUGCCGCGUGUAUGAAGAAGGCCUUCGGGUUGUAAAGUACUUUCAGUCGGGAGGAAGGUGGUAAGGUUAAUAACCUUAUCAAUUGACGUUACCGACAGAAGAAGCACCGGCUAACUCCGUGCCAGCAGCCGCGGUAAUACGGAGGGUGCAAGCGUUAAUCGGAAUUACUGGGCGUAAAGCGCACGCAGGCGGUUGAUUGAGUCAGAUGUGAAAUCCCCGGGCUUAACCCGGGAGUGGCAGCUGAUAGUGGUCAGCUAGAGUCUUGUAGAGGGGGGUAGAAUUCCAUGUGUAGCGGGGGAAUGCGUAGAGAUGUGGAGGAAUACCGGUGGCGAAGGCGGCCCCCGGGACAAAGAAUGACGCUCAGGUGCGAAAGCGUGGGGAGCAAACAGG